Molecule: ribosomal RNA, 443 nt
Filed under: uncultured bacterium
Lineage: Bacteria
Description: partial 16S ribosomal RNA
Rfam family: Bacterial small subunit ribosomal RNA
Source: RNAcentral
CCUACGGGAGGCAGCAGUGGGGAAUAUUGGACAAUGGGGGGAACCCUGAUCCAGCGACGCCGCGUGAGUGAAGAAGUAUUUCGGUAUGUAAAGCUCUAUCAGCAGGGAAGAAAGGAAUGACGGUACCUGACUAAGAAGCCCCGGCUAACUACGUGCCAGCAGCCGCGGGAAUACGGAGGGGGCAAGCGUUAUCCGGAUUUACUGGGUGUAAAGGGAGCGUAGGCGGUUACGCAAGGCUGGAGGGAAAGGCGGGGGCCCAACCCCCGGACUGCUUUGGAAACUGUAGAACUGGAGUGCAGGAGAGGUAAGUGGAAUGCCUAGUGUAGCGGUGAAAUGCGUAGAUAUUAGGAGGAACACCAGUGGCGAAGGCGGCUUACUGGACUGUAACUGACGUUGAGGCUCGAAAGCGUGGGGAGCAAACAGGAUUAGAUACCCGAGUAGUC